AGGGCCCGUUUGUUUUGAUGUAAGUGGAGUGAUGGAACUCAAGUUCCAUCACUUCUGUUAUUUGUUUUGGUGUAAGUGAAAAAUAUAAUGUAACUCAAGUUACGUUAAAGCUCCACUUCACCUACUCUCGACUUCCUCCUCUAAAGUGCCGAACUCGACUUCCACCACACUCAACCUCCUCUAAAAAAUUAACUAAACAGUAAAACCUAAACUCUACUUCCUUUAUAAUGGAUUAGAAUUAUCUUAUUUAUAAUAAAUUAGGAUUAUCUUUAAAUAAUAAUAAAAAUUUUAAUUAUAUAAUAGGUUAAAUUUUAUAGUGGUAAAUUUACUACUAUAUUUAGGAGAUAAUAGGAUCCACUUACUUACAUCAAAACAAGCAACGGAACUCAAAAAACUAAUUUUACCAGCACCAAGUUACAUCAAAACAAACAGAAAAAGUAAUUGAAUUUAACUUUCAGACUGUAUAAGUUACAUCAAAACAAACAACAAAAAAAUAAUCACACUUCAGGGAAACUCAAACACCACUACACUUGACUUUU
This 539-nucleotide long non-coding RNA is filed under the name Ananas comosus (pineapple). RNAcentral's name for it is "long non-coding RNA (ACOM_LNC025819)". Lineage: Eukaryota; Viridiplantae; Streptophyta; Magnoliopsida; Poales; Bromeliaceae. The record is from RNAcentral.